This is a long non-coding RNA of Daphnia pulicaria, 1506 nucleotides long. RefSeq lists it as uncharacterized. NCBI's taxonomy places the organism in Eukaryota, Metazoa, Arthropoda, Branchiopoda, Diplostraca, Daphniidae. The transcript has 6 exons. The record is from RefSeq and is a predicted model, not a curated record.
GGUAAAGUUUGAGGGUUAGGUUAGUCACACGCUUUAUUAUUGUGACACUUUGUUAGGAGCAAGUGUGUUGUGUCUUUUUGUUCUGGGCGUUCGUGUGGGCAGUCUUCUCUUUCCGGUUUCUGUCUGCUGAUGGAGUAAUAAGUUUGUUGUGGCCGUUUAAAGUAGGCGAAACGGGGCAUUAGGAUACUCCUCAUGUGACUUGGGUGCUGCUGAAAUAAAAAAUGAAGUGGCCAGUACCAACACGACAGUUUUAAUUCUCUGUUGGCUUAUAUAUCAGUACUGUGAACUUUACUACUGUUUCCUUCAGCUGAAGUUCCUGGCUCUUUUCAGCUGACCAUGGACCAAAGUAAUUGCAAAUGAGAAAUGAGCCAAACUCAAUGUCACUACCUGACUGAAAUUGUUUCUGCUAUCUAGAAGAUCUCAGUUCUUUUGAAUGACUCGGUGUAACAACUCGCAUCAACUUAUUCUCCACUCCUGUCAUUUGAUGAUCCAGCAUGAUCCAGUAAAGAAAACCUGUCUGAGUGUUGAAAUCCAGGCAAAAUUUUGUUGCAAUGUGCAACAGAAUAAUUUCUACCAGUUGAGCUAGAUGGCGCACGGCGAAUAAGUUUUAGCCAUUGACAGCAGACAGCAUGUUACACGUCAUUUUGUUCUGGACAGAAGUAAGUGAUGUUUUCCUUCCAGAAAUCAUCGGUCGGCUUUAUUUAACGCGAAGCUGUUAAAGCAAACUCCAGACAAUAUAGAGUUCAAUCAAAACUCGUAUUAAGGAGGAAGGAGAGAAAACAAAACUUUAGAGUGACAAGAUGGAAAACGAAAUAAUGUUGGAUGGGUCGAGAAUCUGGAGAUAUCACUUCUGAACUUAACACUGAACAACCUGAAAUUCACUAAAUUUUUUGCUCAUUAGCCAACAAGGCAACAUCUGAUGAUUCUGAUGAUGCCAAUGCCAUGAUGGAAGAGAACACUUGGUGAAAGAUCAUAAUUUGGUUCAUGUUUACAUGGUGGGGUGGUGUUGCUGUCCAAUGUGGCGUGUUGUUGCAGCCUAUGGUGGUGAAAGAUAUCUGCAUCAAGUUGCUGUUUCUUGUGCAUCCAAGGUGCUGGUUUUGUGCUACAGGAGUUACAUCCAGUAUUGUGUUUUAUUGCUAAUUGUUUCUUUGCAGUUUACCUUUUAUACGUUGAGAAGGAACAAAAAAAAGUAAUACGGGGAGGUUUAUGUCAAACAAAUAAUAAACAUGUCCGCGAUUGGGGAAUGAGGAGGAAGUUGGGGUGGGAUAUUUGAUUAUCAUUUACUAAAAGAAGUUCGGUAUAUUUUAUUAUUUUUUAAAUGAAUAUGCAGGUGAUAAAAUCUGUUGUUAACCCAUAUAACCUUCUCCACUUACACAUCCAUUCCUCAAACCCCGACAUAAAGUCCCACAUCCAUUCCUCAAACCCCAUAAUCUCCAACAUCCAAUUGUCACAAUUGUUGUAUACGUAUAAUCGUAUUCAUGUAUAAAUAAAUAAAAUGUCAUUGUA